RNAcentral lists this ribosomal RNA (441 nucleotides) under Kassina senegalensis (Senegal running frog). Its description in RNAcentral is "partial large subunit ribosomal RNA". It matches the Rfam family "Bacterial large subunit ribosomal RNA", at positions 1973 to 2581 of the family's 2925-position model. Lineage: Eukaryota; Metazoa; Chordata; Amphibia; Anura; Hyperoliidae. The record is from RNAcentral.
CCCUUAAAUAGGGACUAGUAUGAAUGGCUUCAGAGGGCUUAACUGUCUCCCCUCUUCAAUCAAUGAAACUGAUCUUCUCGUGAAGAAGCGAGAAUGUUAAUAUAAGACGAGAAGACCCUAUGGAGCUUUAAACCCAUUACCACCUGCCCGUAUUACACCAAAAUAAUUGGCAGCCUGUUCUUAUAAUGGUUUUUGGCUGGGGUGGCCCUGGAGUAAAAUAAACCCUCCAGACUGAAUGAUUUAAGACCCUAAUCUAAGAAUUACAAUUCAAAGAAUCAAUACUUUGACAUAAUUGACCCAAUAAAUUGAUCAACGAACCAAGUUACCCUAGGGAUAACAGCGCAAUCCAUUUCAAGAGCCCCUAUCGACAAAUGGGUUUACUACCUCGAUGUUGGAUCGGGGUAUCCUAGCGGCGCACCCGCUGCUAAAGGUUCGUUUGUU